GAUGAACGCUGGCGGCGUGCCUAAUACAUGCAAGUCGAGCGAACGGACGAGAAGCUUGCUUCUCUGAUGUUAGCGGCGGACGGGUGAGUAACACGUGGAUAACCUACCUAUAAGACUGGGAUAACUUCGGGAAACCGGAGCUAAUACCGGAUAAUAUUUUGAACCGCAUGGUUCAAAAGUGAAAGAUGGUCUUGCUGUCACUUAUAGAUGGAUCCGCGCUGCAUUAGCUAGUUGGUAAGGUAACGGCUUACCAAGGCAACGAUGCAUAGCCGACCUGAGAGGGUGAUCGGCCACACGGGAACUGAGACACGGUCCAGACUCCUACGGGAGGCAGCAGUAGGGAAUCUUCCGCAAUGGGCGAAAGCCUGACGGAGCAACGCCGCGUGAGUGAUGAAGGUCUUCGGAUCGUAAAACUCUGUUAUUAGGGAAGAACAUAUGUGUAAGUAACUGUGCACAUCUUGACGGUACCUAAUCAGAAAGCCACGGCUAACUACGUG
RNAcentral lists this ribosomal RNA (497 nucleotides) under uncultured bacterium. RNAcentral describes it as "partial 16S ribosomal RNA". It matches the Rfam family "Bacterial small subunit ribosomal RNA", at positions 28 to 507 of the family's 1533-position model. The record is from RNAcentral.